AUGCUGAGAGCUGCCCUCCAUAUUACAGACUAUGUGGGAGACAUGCUGAGAGCUGGCUUCCAUAUUAUAGACUAUGUGGGAGACAUGCUGAGUGCUGCCCUCCAUAUUACAGACUAUGUGGGAGACAUGCUGAGAGCUGCCCUCCAUAUUGGAGACUAUGUCGGAGACAUGCUGAGAGCUGCCCUCCAUAUUACAGACUAUGAGGGAGAAAUGCUGAGAGCUGCCCUCCAUAUUACAGACUAUGUGGGAGACAUGCUGAGAACUGCCCUCCAUAUUACAGACUAUGUGGGAGACAUGCUGAGAGCUGCCCUCCAUAUUACAGACUAUGUGGGAGACAUGCUGAGAGCUGCCCAUCUCAUUACAGACUAUGUGGGAGACAUGAUGAGAACUGCCCUUCUCAUUACAGACUAUGUGGGAGACAUGCUGAGAGCUGCCCUCCAUAUUACAGACUAUGUGGGAGACAUGAUGAGAGCUGCCCUUCCCAUUACAGACUAUGUGGGAGACAUGCUGAGAGCUGCCCUCCAUAUUACAGACUAUGUGGGAGACAUGAUGAGAGCUGCCCUUCUCGUUACAGACUAUGUGGGAGACAUGCUGAGAGCUGCCCUCCAAUUUCCAGACUAUGUGGGAGACAUGCUGAGAGCUGCCCUCCAUAUUACAGACUAUGUGGGAGACAUGCUGAGAGCUGCCGUCCUCAUUACACAUUAUGUGAGAGACAUGCUGAGAGCUGCCCUCCAUAUUACAGACUAUGUAGGAGAUACGCUGAGAGCUGCCCUCCAUAUUACAGACUAUGUGGGAGACAUGCUGAGAGGUGCCCUCCUUAUUGGAGACUGUGGUAGAAAUCCAGAGAGCUGCCAUCCAUAUUGGAGACAAUGUGAGAACAUGCUAAGAGCUGCCCUCCACAUGAGAGACUAUGUGGGAGACAUGCUGAGAGCUGCACUCCACAUUACAGACUUUGGGGGAGACAUGCUGAGAGCUGCCCUCCAUAUUGCCGACUAUGGGGGAGACAUGCUGAGAGCUGCCCUCCAUAUUGCAGACUAUGUGGGAGACGUGCUGAGAGCUGCCCUCCAAUUUCCAGACUAUGUGGGAGACAUGGAGAGAGCUGCCCUCCAUUAUGGAGACUAUGUCGGAGAAAUGCUGAGAGCUGCCCUCCAUAUAACAGACUAUGUGGCAGACAUCCUGAGAGCUUCCCCCCAAUUUCCAGACUAUGUGGGAGACAUGGAGAGAGCUGCCCUCCAUAGUGGAGACUAUGUGGGAGACAUGAUGAGAGCUGCCCUUCUCAUUACAGACUACAGUGCCUUGCGAAAGUAUUCGGCCCCCUUGAACUUUGCGACCUUUUGCCACAUUUCAGGCUUCAAACAUAAAGAUAUAAAACUGUAUUUUUUUGUGAAGAAUCAACAACAAGUGGGACACAAUCAUGAAGUGGAACGACAUGUAUUGGAUAUUUCAAACUUUUUUAACAAAUCAAAAACUGAAAAAUUGGGCGUGCAAAAUUAUGCAGCCCCUUUACUUUCAGUGCAGCAAACUCUCUCCAGAAGUUCAGUGAGGAUCUCUGAAUGA
Molecule: long non-coding RNA, 1557 nt
Organism: Oncorhynchus mykiss (rainbow trout)
Lineage: Eukaryota; Metazoa; Chordata; Actinopteri; Salmoniformes; Salmonidae
Source: Ensembl